Long non-coding RNA from Tyto alba (common barn owl), 846 nucleotides. RefSeq lists it as uncharacterized. The transcript has 2 exons. The record is from RefSeq and is a predicted model, not a curated record. Lineage: Eukaryota; Metazoa; Chordata; Aves; Strigiformes; Tytonidae.
GCCCCACACCAUGCCCAUCCCGCUCCUGGCCCUGCUCCUGGCCCUGCUCCUUGCCACCACCCUCCCCGGGCACCCCACCGACGCCACCGUCCCCCGGGACCCCCUCACCGACGCCGUCCCCACCAGCGCCCGCCCUUGCGCCCAGCACACCGGCCGCUGCCGCCGCGUCUGCCUCGCCCACGAGCUCCAACGGGGACAUUUCGGUUGUCCCCGGCGCUACCGGUGCUGUGUGCCCAAAAUGUAGCGGCGGGAUGGACUGGGAGGCGACGAUGCUCAGGGCCAUCCCGCAUCCUGCCCCAGCAGAGUCGCCUCCCUUGGGAUUUGCCCAAUAUUGAGUGGAUUUCACCCGUCUGGGGAGGGAGGAUUUGGCAGCAGCGCGGGGAUGUGAAGGUGCCAUCACUGUCAGGAUGCCACAACCUGUCCCUUAUGGAGCAGAAUAACCCCCCCCCCCUCAAGAUCUGAGUGCUUUUUCCCACGGGAAUAGGGGGUGAAACUCAGCCUGAACCAGCAAAGUGAAGAGAACGGGAUAAAAAAAAUGUUAAAUAAGGGGACUUCUCUCUCUGCCAUAUGCGGAGACACACACACACAGAGGAAUCACAGAUAUUUUUAACUAAAAAACAUUUUGGGGUAUUUUCGCUCCAGGGGACCGGCUGCUCUCAAUGGCACCUCUGCAUUUUUGCUGCUGCCAGGGGAAAAAUACCGAUUUUUGGUGAAGCAGCAGCAUUUUGGGUGCCAUGUCGUCAUCCUCCCCCAGGUUACCAACAACAUCUAUCCGACGGGUGAUUAAAAAGCCAAGCGUUAAUUAAAUAAAAGCUAUGCGAUGCCGAGCCUCCGGCGCAUCCAGAA